Molecule: small nuclear RNA, 157 nt
Organism: Onychomys torridus (southern grasshopper mouse)
Lineage: Eukaryota; Metazoa; Chordata; Mammalia; Rodentia; Cricetidae
Product: U1 spliceosomal RNA
Exons: 1
Source: RefSeq, a predicted model, not a curated record
AUACUCACCUGGCAGGGGAGAUAUCAUGAUAAGGAAGGUGGUUUUUUUCCAGGAUGAGGUUCAUCCAGUGCACUCCAGAUGUGCUGACCCCUGUGCGUUGCACAAACUCCACUGCAUAAUUUGUGGCAGUGAGGGGCUGCUUUCACUUUUUCCCCUG